Molecule: ribosomal RNA, 784 nt
Filed under: Salmonella enterica
Lineage: Bacteria; Pseudomonadati; Pseudomonadota; Gammaproteobacteria; Enterobacterales; Enterobacteriaceae
Also listed under: 1 other name
Description: partial 23S ribosomal RNA
Rfam family: Bacterial large subunit ribosomal RNA
Source: RNAcentral
GUGGACGCCAGUCUGCGUGGAGCCGACCUUGAAAUACCACCCUUUAAUGUUUGAUGUUCUAACGUGGACCCGUAAUCCGGGUUGCGGACAGUGUCUGGUGGGUAGUUUGACUGGGGCGGUCUCCUCCUAAAGAGUAACGGAGGAGCACGAAGGUUGGCUAAUCCUGGUCGGACAUCAGGAGGUUAGUGCAAUGGCAUAAGCCAGCUUGACUGCGAGCGUGACGGCGCGAGCAGGUGCGAAAGCAGGUCAUAGUGAUCCGGUGGUUCUGAAUGGAAGGGCCAUCGCUCAACGGAUAAAAGGUACUCCGGGGAUAACAGGCUGAUACCGCCCAAGAGUUCAUAUCGACGGCGGUGUUUGGCACCUCGAUGUCGGCUCAUCACAUCCUGGGGCUGAAGUAGGUCCCAAGGGUAUGGCUGUUCGCCAUUUAAAGUGGUACGCGAGCUGGGUUUAGAACGUCGUGAGACAGUUCGGUCCCUAUCUGCCGUGGGCGCUGGAGAACUGAGGGGGGCUGCUCCUAGUACGAGAGGACCGGAGUGGACGCAUCACUGGUGUUCGGGUUGUCAUGCCAAUGGCACUGCCCGGUAGCUAAAUGCGGAAGAGAUAAGUGCUGAAAGCAUCUAAGCACGAAACUUGCCCCGAGAUGAGUUCUCCCUGAGACUUAGAGUCUCCUGAAGGAACGUUGAAGACGACGACGUUGAUAGGCCGGGUGUGUAAGCGCAGCGAUGCGUUGAGCUAACCGGUACUAAUGAACCGUGAGGCUUAACCUUACAACGCCGAAGCUGUU